Harmonia axyridis is the source of this 2274-nucleotide long non-coding RNA. RefSeq lists it as uncharacterized. The record is from RefSeq and is a predicted model, not a curated record. NCBI's taxonomy places the organism in Eukaryota, Metazoa, Arthropoda, Insecta, Coleoptera, Coccinellidae. The transcript has 2 exons.
AUUUCGUCUGUAAUCUCGUCUGUUUCGUUUUCAAAUGGCACCCUGUAUAUGGCAUUUGAUGCAUGCAGUUUUGUUGAUGAUGUACCAACAAGUUUUGAGGAAUUAAAAAAUAGAACUGAUAGGAUAAUUUGGUUAGGAGCUGUAGAAAGAGAACUGAAGUCAAUAGAAAUGAAUGAGACGUGGCAAGUAGUUGAUAAACCAAAUAAUAUUCAAAUUUUAGACACUAAAUGGGUGUUUUCCCUUAAAUCAAUGGAAGAGAAUGAGUCAGAUAAAUUCAAGGCACGAUUGGUAGUAAGAGCUUUUGCACAAGGAGCAUAUGAUGAAAUGUAUUCACCAGUAGCAAGAAUGACAUCUAUUAGAGCACUACUGAUUUUAGGAAAUCAGUUUAAUUAUUCUUUUUUGCAAUUAGAUGGAAAACAGCAUUUUUAAAUGGAGUCUUGAAUGAAGAUAUAUAUAUUUAUCCUCCAAAAGGAAUAAGCUUACCUGAAAAUAAAAUUCUAAAAUUGAGAAAAUCUUUAUACGGACUAAAACAAUCUUCUAAAUGUUGGAAUGAUGAAAUUAAUAGAUUUUUGUUGGAUAUUGGUUUUUGUCGAUCAGAAAACGGUUUUUGCCUUUAUACUUUGUAUAGAAAAGAUGGAAAUAAGAUUUAUCAAUUAAUUUAUGUAGAUGACAUAAUUUUAUUUGGAUCGAGUAUGAGCCAAUUAAAUGAUAUAAAAUUGAAAUUAAUGAAUAAGUUUCAAAUGAAAGAUAAGGGAUGUUUGAAAUAUUUUCUUGGAUUAGAGAUAGAUUAUGAUAAGCAGAAGGGGAUUUUGAAAAUAAGUCAAGAAAAAUAUAUUAAAAGACUUUUGAAAAAAUUUAAUAUAGAAAAUUGUAAGGGAAGUUUAACACCAAUAGAAAAAGAUCUGAAGAUUGAAUUUAGUAAUAAUGGAAAUAAGACAUCAAAACCAUUUAGGGAAUUAGUAGGUUGUCUUAUGUAAUUAAUGUUAGGAACUAGAAUUGAUAUAUGUUUUGCUGUCAAUUAUUUUAGUAGGUUUCAAGAUAAGGGUACAGAUGAAGCAUGCAACCACUUGAAACGAAUUUUAAGAUAUUUAAAAAUGACAAUGUCUAUAGGAUCAGAAUAUAAAAGAAAUUAUAACAAUGAAAUUUGUUGCUUUGUAGAUUCAGAUUGGGGAGGUGACACACUAGAUAGAAAAUCCGUCACUGGAUAUGUUUUUAAAUUAUUUGGCAAUACUUUGUGUUGGACCACCAAAAAGCAAACUAGUGUCGCACUUUCCACAACAGAGGCAGAAUUAGUAGCAUUGUGUGCAUCUGUUUCUGAGGAUUUAUGGCUAAAGAAACUGUUUUUAGAUUUAAGAGUUGUUUUUGAUUUAGUCACAUUUUAUGAAGAUAAUCAAGGAUGUCUAGCAUUAAUUAAAAAUCCUGCUAACAAUAGAAGGGUUGAACAUUUGGAUUUGAAAUUUCAUUUUGUAUCAGAAAAUGUUAAAAAUGGAAAAAUAGAAGUAAUUUACGUUGAUUCAUCAAUCAACAAGCUGACACUCUGACUAAAGGAUUGUGUACAGGUUCAUUUGUGAAAUUUAGAGAAAUGUUAUCUUUAAAGGAUUUUAGCGAGGGGGGGGGUGUUGAGACUUCGCUAAAAUGAAUGAGUUAUAUAUUGUUAUAUGAUAGUAUUAUUCUAUGUUUUUCAUAUAUGACAUGUAUGACAAGUAGAAGAGUUGUUCCCGCUUGAAAUACUUGUAUGAUGUAUGUCACUCUUAUUACUAGAAGAUAAUUGAGUUUAAGCUGACGAAUAUUUUGUAUUUCCACCCACACAAUAAUAAAUUAAUACUGCGCUCAAAAUAUUAUUACUGGAUAUAUACUGAGUUCUGUUACCUAACAUCAACAAUUCAAGGUUGAUUGUGUCAAAAGCCUUUGAGUAGUCUAGCAGCACGAGGAUACUGGACAAGCCCUCAUCAUAGGCCUCCAUGAUAUCACCGGUCACAGGAGCAAGUGCAGUAGCAGUGCUAUAGUUUUUUCUGAAACCACAUUGUGAGUCUGGUAAUAUAUUGCUUGAUCUCAGAUGAUUAAUCAUUUGAUUAUGGAGUACUUUCUCAAAAAUCUUCGACAAGAAUGGCAGUAUACUGAUAAUUCUUAGAUCAGAAAAAGACGAGAGGUUCCCUACCUUCGGAAUGGGUUUACCCAGGGAAACCUUCCACAAAUGAGGAAAAUAGCAAGAUUCAAUGCACACAUUUAUGAUAUGCACAAUAUAUUUAACAAUAAAUGGUCCACAAUAUUGAA